Molecule: non-coding RNA, 1170 nt
Organism: Lactuca sativa (garden lettuce)
Lineage: Eukaryota; Viridiplantae; Streptophyta; Magnoliopsida; Asterales; Asteraceae
Source: RefSeq, a predicted model, not a curated record
ACACUUUUGCCUGUGUUCAUUUUCAUUCAAAAUCUAAAAACACACGGCCUCACUUUCUCAAUUUCCAUUUUUGAUCCCGCGACACCGUACGGCCAUACCCGCGACUCCCUACCGCCGACGUCGUCUUCACACCAUUUCUACCUCCGACCACCGGCGUCUUCACCAUUCAUACCUCCAACCGCCGUCCUCUUCGCCUAUUAUACCUCCGACCGCCUCCGUCUUCAGUGUUCCUACCUCCGACCAUCGUCAUCAUCACCAUUCCUACCUGCUAUCGUCAUCAGCUCCAUUUCAGUACAUCAAGGAAGUAGGGUUUUGGUUGAGAGGAUUGGGGAAUUAAUUAUGUGAUGAUGAUGAUGUUAGGAUUUAUAAGUGGCAACGAGAGAGUGUUUUGGGGAGGAUUGUUGGUUAUAUUUGGGUCGACUUUCUUUGGUGGGUUUCUUUAUAUCAAAACUAGUCCCUCAUUCGGAUAUUAUCUUUGCAAUACAAAAUGACAGGUAUGGUAUGGCUACCAUGUCAUGUUUUUUGUUUAAAAACAAUUAAAUCCCAAGGUUCGGUUUCUGAUGAUGCAACACAACAGGCAUUAUUGCUUCUUGGUGCCUUUGACACUUCCGGUGCUUCUGGUUGCUGUAUACUUGUACUGGCUUAGCAUGAAAAUGUUUAAGCAUGCAUGACUACUGACCUACUCUAAUUUCCCAUCAUACUGCGUUACUAAUGUCAAUGAAACAAAAUCAACAGUUUUUUUUUUUUGUGGUCACCAAAAAAGGAUAAGAGUAAAUUGCAAAAAUUGUCUAAGAGUAGGUUUAUUUUAAAUGUUUGGAUGUUGCAGCUGAAAUCCAAAAUAAUUGAUGUAUAUGGAUGUAGUCAAUAAUUUAGUAAACAAACAACAUUAGUUAAGAUAAGGCCAUGGUCAUGUGCCUUGCACAUGUUUGCUAUUUAGGGACCAGACAAGACAUUGCCAGAAAUAGUAGGCACUAGGCAGGCAGGGUUUAAACGUUUAAACUUGAGAAGUCAUCUACGGAAGUAUCUGAAAAUUACUGUUUGCAUGACAAUUGGUUGAUAAAUAGUUUGGGCUUUUGUCAAUAUAAUAGAAUGAUACUGCUUUAAAGGAUUGGCGGAUACCAAUAUUUUGAAUGCACAAUCUAUAUAUUAGCCCUGUAAUGUUAAAUUAAA